UUUUGUUUAAUUAGACGCUCAUGGAACAGCCUUACGUCCUCUUGACAUCCAGAGAAGUUAGCCGAGAUGCUUUUGUGCUUUGGGGAACUCUGAGACAGGAGAGUCANGANNGUNGUCAAGUCGUCUUGUGAAACGUUGGGUUAAGUCCCGCAACGAGNGCAACCCUUAUCCUUUCUUGCCAGCGAUUCGUUCGGGAACUCAAAGGAGUCNNCCAGUGGUAAACUGGAGGAAGGUGGGGAUGACGUCAAGUCAUCAUCNCNUUUCGAGGUCAANUACNUCNGUGAAGCAUUGGCAUAUACAAAGNGAAGGGACCUCACGAGGGCAAGCGGUCCUCAUAAANGGCUCGUAGUCCGGANNGGAGUGAGCAACUCGAGUCCAAAANUCGGAAUCCAUAGUAAUCGUAGAUCAGAAUCA
This 414-nucleotide ribosomal RNA is filed under the name Klebsiella ornithinolytica. Its description in RNAcentral is "Raoultella ornithinolytica partial 16S ribosomal RNA". It matches the Rfam family "Bacterial small subunit ribosomal RNA", at positions 940 to 1357 of the family's 1533-position model. Lineage: Bacteria; Pseudomonadati; Pseudomonadota; Gammaproteobacteria; Enterobacterales; Enterobacteriaceae. RNAcentral also lists the same sequence under 1 other name. The record is from RNAcentral.